GGAGGGGUCGCAUAAUGGUAUUGCAGCGGUCUUGAAAACCGCCGCCCGCAAGGGCUUGCAGGUUCGACUCCUGUCCCCUCCGCCA
RNAcentral lists this transfer RNA (85 nucleotides) under Acidobacteriota bacterium. RNAcentral describes it as "Acidobacteria bacterium tRNA-Ser". It matches the Rfam family "tRNA". From Rfam's summary of the family: Transfer RNA (tRNA) molecules are approximately 80 nucleotides in length. Their secondary structure includes four short double-helical elements and three loops (D, anti-codon, and T loops). Further hydrogen bonds mediate the characteristic L-shaped molecular structure. tRNAs have two regions of fundamental functional importance: the anti-codon, which is responsible for specific mRNA codon recognition, and the 3' end, to which the tRNAs corresponding amino acid is attached (by aminoacyl-tRNA synthetases). tRNAs cope with the degeneracy of the genetic code in two manners: having more than one tRNA (with a specific anti-codon) for a particular amino acid; and 'wobble' base-pairing, i.e. permitting non-standard base-pairing at the 3rd anti-codon position. The record is from RNAcentral. RNAcentral also lists the same sequence under 1 other name. Lineage: Bacteria; Pseudomonadati; Acidobacteriota.